RNAcentral lists this ribosomal RNA (217 nucleotides) under uncultured Lactobacillus sp. RNAcentral's name for it is "partial 16S ribosomal RNA". It matches the Rfam family "Bacterial small subunit ribosomal RNA", at positions 143 to 354 of the family's 1533-position model. Lineage: Bacteria; Bacillati; Bacillota; Bacilli; Lactobacillales; Lactobacillaceae. The record is from RNAcentral.
AUAACACCUGGAANAGUGCUAAUACCGGAUAACAACAGAUGAUGCCUAUCAACUGUUUAAAAGAUGGUUCUGCUAUCACUCUUGGAUGGACCUGCGGUGCAUUAGCUAGUUGGUAGGGUAACGGCCUACCAAGGCGAUGAUGCAUAGCCGAGUUGAGAGACUGAUCGGCCACAUUGGGACUGAGACACGGCCCAAACUCCUACGGGAGGCAGCAGAC